Molecule: ribosomal RNA, 303 nt
Filed under: uncultured bacterium
Lineage: Bacteria
Description: partial 16S ribosomal RNA
Rfam family: Bacterial small subunit ribosomal RNA
Source: RNAcentral
AGCAGUCGCCACGGGAAUACGUAGGGUGCAAGCGUUAAUCGGAAUUACUGGGCGUAAAGCGUGCGCAGGCGGUUUUGUAAGACAGAGGUGAAAUCCCCGGGCUCAACCUGGGAACUGCCUUUGUGACUGCAAGGCUAGAGUACGGCAGAGGGGGAUGGAAUUCCGCGUGUAGCAGUGAAAUGCGUAGAUAUGCGGAGGAACACCGAUGGCGAAGGCAAUCCCCUGGGCCUGUACUGACGCUCAUGCACGAAAGCGUGGGGAGCAAACAGGAUUAGAUACCCCAGUAGUCCCUGUCUCUUAUAA